RNAcentral lists this ribosomal RNA (153 nucleotides) under uncultured fungus. Its description in RNAcentral is "5.8S ribosomal RNA". It matches the Rfam family "5.8S ribosomal RNA". Rfam says of the family: 5.8S ribosomal RNA (5.8S rRNA) is a component of the large subunit of the eukaryotic ribosome. Lineage: Eukaryota; Fungi. The record is from RNAcentral.
AACUUUCAACAAAGGAUCUCUUGGCUCUUGCAUCGAUGAAGAACGUAGCGAAGCGCGAAAUGUAGUGUGAAUCGCAGAACACUGUGAAUCAUCGAAUCUUUGAACGCACAUUGCGCCUCUCUUUCGAGGGGCAUGCCUGUCUGAGCGUCAUUU